Molecule: long non-coding RNA, 2512 nt
Organism: Cucurbita maxima (winter squash)
Lineage: Eukaryota; Viridiplantae; Streptophyta; Magnoliopsida; Cucurbitales; Cucurbitaceae
Exons: 2
Source: RefSeq, a predicted model, not a curated record
GAAAGUGGUCUAUGGAAGUAAGGGCCAAUCAAAUGCUCUCACGGAGUCUAACGCCAUUGAUACUGACAGAGCAACCUCCGUUCGCCGUAGUUUCUUCGAUCCCUUUCGGCGGCAAGGUAUUCUGUGUUCAAUGCCUCCCAAUCGAAAAUAUUCGUCAUCUUUUUUUUUUUUUUUUUUUUUUCAUAAUUUCAUUCAAUUUAGCGGGUUCUGGAAAAGUUUUGAAUGGAUGAGAAGGUGAAUUUGACUGGAUUGGAUUGGAUUGGAUUGAAUGUUCAUGUGGUGGGUGGAAAAAAUUAUUCGAGUUUUCUCCUUCGUUAAUCGACGAAGAACAUUAGCGAUUUCUACGUUUCAUAGCUUUGAUUGAUCGCAUGGUUCUAUUGAUUCCUUUGCAAAAUUACUUGUCCUCUUAAUGUUGUAAUUAGGAGACAUUAGGUUAAUUAUUUCUAUGAGGAUUCAGAUUAUGAGCAAGUGGAGUGGAGCAUCUUUUACUUUACUUUGUGCUGUAGUUUUCCCCACUAGCUGCAAUAUUCUUCAAUGAGUAUUUCUGUUGUUGAUUUAACUUUGACAUCCUUUUUUUUCCUGAUUUCAAUUAAUCUUGUCUGCUUAUUGGGAACAUGGACUGUAGUUUGGAUUUAAAAUAAGCUGCUCAUUCCCUUUGAAAAGGGAAAGGUGUCUUUUAAGAACAAAUUAAGGUUCUUUGGGCUAUUAUGACUAUAAUCAAGAAAAUAGCUUUAGAAGUUUCGUUAUUGAGUUGGGGCCUCCAUAUUGAAAAGGAAAACUCUGUGUUUAUAGAAAAAUUGAGAAUAGUUCUUUAAUGCCAUUCACAAGACUUAUUGGUUCUCUUGUUUGUUUGUUUAUUCUGAAACGAACAGUUCUUCAGGAUUUUCUUUGUUCCUUUGCAUAAUUCGGUAUCUCAGGUCACCCUGUUUUUUACUAUAUGAGGUCGUAGUUGUAGUUUUUUUGGUUUUUUUUGCUAGGAACUUAGUCAUGUUAUUGAAUAUCGGAUAAGGCUUUUGAUUCAUCAAUGCUAAGAGAAUUAAAAGUCGCUUGGCCUUGUCAUGGGAAACCAAAAAAGAAAAGGAAAAAGGGUCCUUGUAUAGAUUGAUUUGUGGCUGGAGGACAUUGCCUACUUCUCAUUGCAGUUGGCAAUAAAUCUUCAUUUCUCAAAAGUUUGCUUAGCUGCUUACUUUGGUGAUAUGUGAAGUAUCAAUAUAUGGCAAAAAGAAAGUGCAUCGCACAAGAAUUCAAGGUGGGGAAUCUCAAUUGGAUCUCACCUUUAAUACUUCCUUACCUUUACCCUACAUCAAUAGGAAGGGGCCUUCUCCUCCUGCAAUCACCUCAUACCUUCCAUUUACUGGUGCGUGCCUUAGAUUUUAUCUAUCUCAAUCUGGCUUCUUCUACUUUGUCUCUUAUGACAGCAACAAAUAGGAAGAAAAAGGUGCGGUUUUACAUUAAUUUUGUUAUGGGCUUCGUUGGAUGUAAGUGUUAUACACUGUUUGAUUUGUGACAUGUUUGUUGUUGACUGAAAAUUGAUCAUUGUAAUACUUGGUCCAUGCUGCAUGUUGAGCUCCCUGUGUGAUUGAUUCCGUGGGAUCUCGUGUAACUUACAUUUCUUCACGACAUAUGAAAUUAAUUAGAUACGAUAUGUGGGCUUAUUUAUCAUUAUUAUGAAUUUCUUAACCUCAUGAACUAUAUAAUCUCAGGGGUCGUAGGCUAUUCACCAAUUUGUACACAACUGCACAAACUAUACAUAGAUCAGAUAAAUGUUGAUUACUUUGCACAUUUCUCAUCGUCUAUAAGAUGCAUGCAUAUGUAACUUUCCAAGCUCAAAAUUCGAACUAGGAUUCAAAAUAUGAUUCGAAUUUUGUUCAUCUUUGAUGCUAUAUGUAAUUACCCUUGAACUAGUAAGAAUCUAGAUUCUGAAUCCUGCUUAGAAUCUUAGGUGUGGAGAGUUAUAAAUCGUAUUAGAGAGGAAUCUCCCUAUUAUGAUGUGGUUUUAGGGACGAACCAAAAUAUAAUGAGAAACCCAUGUUAGUCUAUGUGGACAAUCUUCACUGCAUGUUGUUGAAGAUAAGUAAGGUAACCUGACCAUGUUGUAAAAGAUGUAGGAAAAUGUUAGAGCUACGUGUUGAAUCAAAUUUUUGGUUUAUAUCUUCAGUCUGGAGAAUGACACACUCCAAUAAUGAUAUAAUAGCAAAAAAACAAAUGAAUCGCAUUAGAAAGUUUUUUUUUGUGAACUAACCAAAGGACAAGGCCGAGGCAGGCAAAAUCAGGUUGCUUUCUUCCAUGGAAGUUUCAUUUUUCUAAAACCUUUUGACUUUCAUGGGGAUGUUGAUAACAUUGCAUUUUUUUGGAGUAGGAGGAAGCUGCUUGGAAGCAAAAUCAAGUUGCAUUCUUCUAUGGUAACAUUGACAACAUACAAUUGUUGCUAGAAUGAUGUUCACUAAGAGUUCCUAUUUAAUUUUUUAAAGUUAUUUUUAAUGAGUUUAUAUUUAUGAGAUCUUUUUAUCCA